This 255-nucleotide ribosomal RNA is filed under the name Triticum aestivum (bread wheat). Its description in RNAcentral is "partial small subunit ribosomal RNA". Lineage: Eukaryota; Viridiplantae; Streptophyta; Magnoliopsida; Poales; Poaceae. The record is from RNAcentral.
AUGCAGCAGCAGCCACCGCGGGAAAUCCACGCCUACGGCUACAGCAUUGGCGCCGCGCCCGCCCACGGCAUCGGCGUCGUGCCAGCACCCGCCGACGCUUCUCCCAGCCCUAACCAUGAUCAGCCCCAGCCUCCUCCACCGCGCCGCCGACUGAGCCCAUUCCGGAUCUUCAUCCUGGCCUUCGUCGGGGCAUGCGCGCUCGCCGGUGUUGUCGUGCUGCUCGUGUGGCUCAUCUACCGCCCCAAUGGGGUCUAG